UUUAAAGUCUGGCCUGCCCAAUGAGGAGUUGAAUGGCCGCGGUAAUUUGACCGUGCAAAGGUAGCAUAAUCAUUAGUUUUUUAAUUGAAAGCUGGAAUGAAUGGUCGGACGAGAGAACAGCUGUCUCAGUUUAAUUGAAAUAGAACUUUAUUUUUAAGUAAAAAAGCUUAAAUAUAUUUAAAAGACGAGAAGACCCUAUAGAGUUUUAUAUAAAAAAGUAAGUGAGAGAUUUAGUAUAUAAAUGGUUAUUUAUUUUUUUGUAUUUUGUUGGGGCGAUAGAAAAAUUAAAGGAACUUUUUUUAUAGUGAUUCAUUAAUAUAUGUUUAAAUGAUCCGUUAUUAACGAUUAUAAGAUUAAAUUACCUUAGGGAUAACAGCGUAAUUUUUUUUAAGAGUUCAAAUCGAAAAAAGAGUUUGCGACCUCGAUGUUGGAUUAAAAUUAAUUUUCGGUGUAGGGGCUGAAAUAUUAGGUCUGUUCGACCUUUGAAAUUUUACAUGAUCUGAGUUUAAACCGGCGUGAGCCAGGUUGGUUUCUAUCUUUAAACAUUCUAGGUAUUUUAGUACGAAAGGAUCAAAUACCUGUAAAAUUUGUUAUAAGUUGAAUAUUAUUAUU
This 612-nucleotide ribosomal RNA is filed under the name Lepidiota stradbrokensis. RNAcentral's name for it is "partial 16S large subunit ribosomal RNA". It matches the Rfam family "Bacterial large subunit ribosomal RNA", at positions 1844 to 2735 of the family's 2925-position model. Lineage: Eukaryota; Metazoa; Arthropoda; Insecta; Coleoptera; Scarabaeidae. The record is from RNAcentral.